Molecule: ribosomal RNA, 429 nt
Filed under: Pseudomonadota bacterium
Lineage: Bacteria; Pseudomonadati; Pseudomonadota
Description: Proteobacteria bacterium partial 16S ribosomal RNA
Rfam family: Bacterial small subunit ribosomal RNA
Source: RNAcentral
UGGGGAAUAUUGGACAAUGGGCGAAAGCCUGAUCCAGCCAUGCCGCGUGUGUGAAGAAGGUCUUCGGAUUGUAACGCACUUUAAGUUGGGAGGAAGGGCAGUAAGCGAAUACCUUGCUGUUUUGACGUUACCGACAGAAUAAGCACCGGCUAACUCUGUGCCAGCAGCCGCGGUAAUACAGAGGGUGCAAGCGUUAAUCGGAAUUACUGGGCGUAAAGCGCGCGUAGGUGGUUCGUUAAGUGGAAUGUGAAAGCCCCGGGCUCAACCUGGGAACUGCAUCCAAUACUGGCGAGCUAGAGUAGGGCAGAGAGUGGUGGAAUUUCCUGUGUAGCGAUGAGAUGCGUAGAUAUAGGAAGGAAAACCAGUGGCGAAGGCGACCACCUGGGCUCAUACUGACACUGAGGUGCGAAAGCGUGGGGAGCAAACAGG